AGAGUUUGAUCCUGGCUCAGAUUGAACGCUGGCGGCAGGCCUAACACAUGCAAGUCGAGCGGCAGCACGGGAAGCUUGCUUCCUGGUGGCGAGCGGCGGACGGGUGAGUAAUGCAUAGGAAUCUGCCCGGUAGUGGGGGAUAACCUGGGGAAACUCAGGCUAAUACCGCAUACGUCCUACGGGAGAAAGCAGGGGCUCUUCGGACCUUGCGCUAUCGGAUGAGCCUAUGUCGGAUUAGCUAGUUGGUGAGGUAAUGGCUCACCAAGGCGACGAUCCGUAGCUGGUCUGAGAGGAUGAUCAGCCACAUCGGGACUGAGACACGGCCCGAACUCCUACGGGAGGCAGCAGUGGGGAAUAUUGGACAAUGGGGGAAACCCUGAUCCAGCCAUGCCGCGUGUGUGAAGAAGGCCUUCGGGUUGUAAAGCACUUUCAGUGAGGAAGAAGGCCUCGGGCUUAAUACGUCCGAGGGAGGACAUCACUCACAGAAGAAGCACCGGCUAACUCCGUGCCAGCAGCCGCGGUAAUACGGAGGGUGCGAGCGUUAAUCGGAAUUACUGGGCGUAAAGCGCGCGUAGGUGGCGUGAUAAGCCGGUUGUGAAAGCCCCGGGCUCAACCUGGGAACGGCAUCCGGAACUGUCAUGCUAGAGUGCAGGAGAGGAAGGUAGAAUUCCCGGUGUAGCGGUGAAAUGCGUAGAGAUCGGGAGGAAUACCAGUGGCGAAGCGGCCUUCUGGACUGACACUGACACUGAGGUGCGAAAGCGUGGGUAGCAAACAGGAUUAGAUACCCUGGUAGUCCACGCCGUAAACGAUGUCGACUAGCCGUUGGGAGCCUCGAGUUCUUAGUGGCGCAGUUAACGCGAUAAGUCGACCGCCUGGGGAGUACGGCCGCAAGGUUAAAACUCAAAUGAAUUGACGGGGGCCCGCACAAGCGGUGGAGCAUGUGGUUUAAUUCGAUGCAACGCGAAGAACCUUACCUACCCUUGACAUCUUCGGAAGCCGAGAGAGAUCUUGGUGUGCCUUCGGGAACCGAAAGACAGGUGCUGCAUGGCUGUCGUCAGCUCGUGUUGUGAAAUGUUGGGUUAAGUCCCGUAACGAGCGCAACCCCUGUCCCUAUUUGCCAGCGAUUCGGUCGGGAACUCUAGGGAGACUGCCGGUGACAAACCGGAGGAAGGUGGGGACGACGUCAAGUCAUCAUGGCCCUUACGGGUAGGGCUACACACGUGCUACAAUGGUAGGUACAAAGGGUUGCAAGACGGCGACGUGGAGCUAAUCCCAUAAAGCCUGCCUCAGUCCGGAUCGGAGUCUGCAACUCGACUCCGUGAAGUCGGAAUCGCUAGUAAUCGUGCAUCAGAAUGGCACGGUGAAUACGUUCCCGGGCCUUGUACACACCGCCCGUCACACCAUGGGAGUGGACUGCACCAGAAGUGGUUAGCUUAACCUUCGGGGGAGCGAUCACCACGGUGUGGUUCAUGACUGGGGUGAAGUCGUAACAAGGUAGCCGU
Molecule: ribosomal RNA, 1502 nt
Filed under: uncultured Halomonas sp.
Lineage: Bacteria; Pseudomonadati; Pseudomonadota; Gammaproteobacteria; Oceanospirillales; Halomonadaceae
Description: bacterial SSU rRNA
Rfam family: Bacterial small subunit ribosomal RNA
Source: RNAcentral